AUCGCUUCUCGGCCCUUUGGCUAAGAUCAAGUGUAGUAUCUGUUCUUAUCAGUUUAAUAUCUGAUACGUCCUCUAUAUGAGGACUACAUAUAAAAUUGAUUUUUAGAACAGGGAGACGGAAGAGGCUUGCUAUGUCUGCUCCAUGCAUCGACCUGGUAUUACAGUACCUCCAGGAAUGGUGCACCUCCU
Molecule: small nuclear RNA, 189 nt
Organism: Pygocentrus nattereri (red-bellied piranha)
Lineage: Eukaryota; Metazoa; Chordata; Actinopteri; Characiformes; Serrasalmidae
Gene: U2
Rfam family: U2 spliceosomal RNA
About the family: U2 is a small nuclear RNA (snRNA) component of the spliceosome (involved in pre-mRNA splicing). Complementary binding between U2 snRNA (in an area lying towards the 5' end but 3' to hairpin I) and the branchpoint sequence (BPS) of the intron results the bulging out of an unpaired adenosine, on the BPS, which initiates a nucleophilic attack at the intronic 5' splice site, thus starting the first of two transesterification reactions that mediate splicing.
Source: Ensembl